CCUCAUCCCCCCCUCUUCAUCUAACCUGGUCAUGAGUUCUACCCUAUCCCCACCAUCUUUUCCUCUUCCUCCUCUUUAAAUCCUGCAGUAGUCCUCAUCCCUCCUCUCCAUCUAACUUGAUCCUAAGCCCUAUCCAGUUGCAUCAUCUCCUCCUCUUCCAACAUUUCCUCCUCUUUAAAACCCACAAUUGUUCUUAUCCCUUCUCUCCAUUCCUCCUCCCCAUCU
This 225-nucleotide long non-coding RNA is filed under the name Phoenix dactylifera (date palm). RNAcentral describes it as "long non-coding RNA (PDAC_LNC009968)". Lineage: Eukaryota; Viridiplantae; Streptophyta; Magnoliopsida; Arecales; Arecaceae. The record is from RNAcentral.